UACGUAGGGUGCAAGCGUUGUCCGGAAUCAUUGGGCGUAAAGCGCGCGUAGGCGGCCCGAUAAGUCCGCUGUAAAAGUCAACGGCUCAACUGUUGAAAGCCGGUGGAUACUGGCGGGCUAGAGUACGGAAGAGGCAAGUGGAAUUCCUGGUGUAGCGGUGGAAUGCGCAGAUAUCAGAGGAACACCUAUAGCGAAGGCAGCUUGCUGGGACGUUACUGACGCUAAGGCGCGAAAGCGUGGGGAGCGAACAGG
RNAcentral lists this ribosomal RNA (252 nucleotides) under uncultured bacterium. Its description in RNAcentral is "partial 16S ribosomal RNA". It matches the Rfam family "Bacterial small subunit ribosomal RNA", at positions 524 to 776 of the family's 1533-position model. The record is from RNAcentral.